GGUGUCCCACAAAGAUCCACCAGCACCAGCAACAUGAGCUCUGGCCUCACAUGGCCCCUUCCAGCUUGCCCACGCCAAGGCCUCGUGUUCCCACAGCAGACGCCAGUGCCUUGUGUUUGCUGGCUACACAGAUACUCCGAGGGAGUACUUAGGGAUUCAAAUCAUCACUGAAGGUAAAAGCCCUCUCAGACAUGAGGACACCAAAGUCCUUCAGAGCAUGGCCAUAUGAUAGCACCAAGCUAAAUUCCUCCACCUGAAAGAUUCUGCAUGUGUCACGUCCCAGGGUAUCCAGGAAAGCAGCAGUGCAAAUAGAUCCACUUCUUAGCAAGGAGGUUUCAAAAGACAGGAUGAUCAAACAGCUUGCUGUUUGGCACAUGCUCCUUCUGCCUGUAUUGCUCCUUCUGCCUUCUCUGAAAUGCUGGUCACCAUUUCAACAGCUCUAAAACUGGAUGUUGCAGGUGUCUCACUUUGACAGCUGCAAUUUUACUGAUGCUGUGCAGCACAGGAUGCCCACUCUCAUUACGUUUCAAGGCACAGGAAAUGCAACUCAGUAUCUGAAUGCAUAAGAAGGAAGGAGCUUUUUAAAGUUCAAGGAUUCAAGAAGCCUGUUGACACCAAUACACGCUGGCAUAUAAAAAUAAAUUACAGACUUUAAUAUUUACAUGUGCUGGCUUCCAACCCCCCAAAAGCCUGCACUGAGGAGGUUCACAAAUGGGAAGUGAAGAACUGCCAGGCACUUGUAUCCUUAUUGUGAAGACUGACUGAAGAGAAGCAUGCCAAACACAAGGUGCUGCAUAUAAACCUUUGAAUCAGAAUGGGUAACUACACAAAUGAUAAACAAAAUAAAAAUAUGCUAAGAAAUAUGCAUGUGUUCACUACA
Pyrgilauda ruficollis (rufous-necked snowfinch) is the source of this 880-nucleotide long non-coding RNA. RefSeq lists it as uncharacterized. NCBI's taxonomy places the organism in Eukaryota, Metazoa, Chordata, Aves, Passeriformes, Passeridae. The record is from RefSeq and is a predicted model, not a curated record. The transcript has 6 exons.